Molecule: long non-coding RNA, 19279 nt
Filed under: Panax ginseng (ginseng)
Lineage: Eukaryota; Viridiplantae; Streptophyta; Magnoliopsida; Apiales; Araliaceae
Description: long non-coding RNA (PGIN_LNC012097)
Source: RNAcentral
AGCAAAGAACCCAUCUGCCUCUUAUUUCUUCUCUCUCCUGCUCUCCUGGAUGCCUCUUUCUUGCUCUUCCCAUCUCCCAGCUCGCCCAUCUCCUCGCUCGUCGCCCAUCUCCUCGCUCAGGCUUCCCAUCUCCUCGCGACAAAUCCUUCCAUUCAUUGCAAGGUAACAAAAUUAGAUGUGGGUAGAUGGAUUUUCUUGCUUUUAGUGUUGAAUUAGGCCUUUUGUUUUAUAUUUUCUGUUUUGGUUUUGAAAAAUUGGAGGGCUAAUAUUUUUUGAGGGCCAAACCCUAGAAUCUGCAGAUUUGUUUGUGUUGAUAGACAACUUUUUGAUUUAUGAAUAUUGUUCUAGGUUAUAGUGGGUGGUGUUAAAAAUAGAAAGCAGAGCACAUUUGUUAUGCUGUUAUGGAGUGUUAUUAUUUGAGAAUGAGUUGUAAUUUGAUGAGAAACUCCUCUUUCACUUUCUCUCUCCAAAACCUCCAAAAUAUUCCCGAUCCCAUCUAUUCUUCUCCUCCGUUUGCCUCGUUUCUUCUGUCUGUUCGCUGAAUAAUUUAUUAUGUACUAUCUUUUUGUUUGCUUUUAUAUUAGUUUUGUUGAUUUUUUUUGUUAUAAAUUGUUUCAGAGAUUGUUCAGCUGGUUUUGUUUGAUAACGACUCUUUAAAAUUGUGUGUUCAUGGGUUUGACAACUUUUAUGUAUUACACAAUACACAUCUGCCUAUUGAGGUGCAUAUGCAUCUUUCCGAGCUCCUAGCCAAUGUUGUCAGUUUUACGGAUAUAUAUACUAGGGUGUAUUGAGUUUGAUUAUGUAGGCCAUUUUGAUUAUGCUUAUUAGAUUUAACAUUAAUGAUGCUAACAGUUCUCCUCAACUUAAGAGAGGUUUCUGAAAAAAAUUAUAUUUUUCAGGUCAGUAACAAUAUUAGAAAGUUGCCACUAAUUUUUAUUGGCAUUCCACAUUUUAUAUGAAGGAGACGAGUAUUCUUAAAUUGCUUGGUAUUUUAACUAUUAAUGUGAGACAUUAUUGUCAAAGUGUAUUUCUGAGUGCCAAUAUCAUCAUCCUUUUCUGAGGGAGGGAGACAAUAUAUGGGAUGGAAGUGCUAUCCAUUGCCUAGUAACUGGAUACGUGAAUUGCUUGCAUAACAAAAGCCCAUACACAGAUGAAGAUUCUAGUAAAUGGGUAAUAUGACCAUACACAGAUGAAGGUUAAUUACACAAAAAGAAUUUGUUUGUAAUUUAUUUAUUUUUAAAAAAUAUUUUAAAAAUACCUUAUAGAAUUAGUUUAGUGGUUUUGAAGGGCCAAUACCUUCUAGUAUUUCUGUCUUGAGCAAUUUAAAUCAAGUAUAAACUCUUUGAUUGGUGUUCCUGUUUCUUUCUUAAGUAUAAGCUCUCUGUUUUUAUUUAUUGGCAGAGACCUUAGCUUUAACAAGCUGGAAGGGGAGAUACCAAAUGAUCUUGAAAGCCUAUCAAAUCUGGAGACUAUGUAAGCAAUCAAAAUUAAGGAAGAUCUUUUUAACUUGUGUAGGAAUUCUUUCUAGUUGUUUGAUAUACAUUUGUCAUAAUGUAUCAAGUGUGAUGUCACACAUGAAUGUCACACAUAAUGUAUCCAAGUUUUUGUUGGCAUGUAAGUUCUUUUCGUUAUAUUUGUUGAUUUGCUAUUUCCCAACUUUUCAUAUUUGUUCUUCUAUUUAAUGUGCAAGCCCUGAGUUUUUUUUUAAUUCUAAAAGCAAAUUCAUUUUAUAGGCCCAUCUCUGUUCCAUGGUCAUUUUGGGGAAUACCUUUUAGAGAUUUUUGUUUUGUUUAUAAUGGACUUUGUGCUGUUUGUAGGCCAACUACUGGUGGUGUUCCGCUUCCUGCGCCAGCCAAGGUAUGAAUUUUGUGCUAAGGAUUGUCAAAUACAAACUCUGGUUACCUGUAAAAAAAGUUCAAGAAAUCUCUAUUUGAAGACCAAUAUUUUAGGGUAGCGUCACUUGCUAGCAUAUAAUAUUGCACUUGUAGGAAGUGUAUUCUUCCUCAGAAAAGGCCUUAUUUUUGCAGUUGUAAUUGAUUCUUUGAAGGAUGUUCAUAAUUAUUAUAGAUAAAAGGAGUAUAUUGGAAUAAAGCAAAUUCUUCAAUCAAAGUUGCAAAGAUAUGCGAAACAUAAGCACAACUAAAAGUACUAUGUUUACCCAUUUACUGAUUUCAAAUUGGCAAACAAACUGCUGAAUUAAGUACCUUAGCAAAUUAUCCUAAACACACAAUACAAAGACUAGAACAAAAUAGAGAGGAUUUUAUCAACCAUAAUGGAAAAUUCUACAUCUUGUCGAAAAAAGAUCUUCAACCAAAAUUGGGGGUAAAAAUAAUUAAACAAAGGGGAUUAAGGGUCUAUUAAAUUGUUCAUAGAAAAUUUAGUAAGACAAUAAAAUACCAGACCCAUGAUGAUUCAUCUCCUGUUCUUGAAGAAAACAUAUUAUUUUUUCUAACAAAAUAAUAAAACCCAAAAAGUAACAGCCUUUACUAAGCUAGAAUCUUGAAGGUAUAACCUUUUAGCUUGAAAUUCACAAAGGCAAACAGAGCAUCUUUCUCAAAGGCAAACAAAGGCAAACAGAGCUUGAAAUUCACAAAGACAAACAUAGCACCUUUUAGUUUUGUUUUGCAUAUUAUUUGGAAGACUGAAUGGAAUACUUCUUAUUAAGAAUAGGGAAUUGAAAAUCAUAAACCAAAAUUUGCAUUGCCACAGAAAAGUAUUCUAGAUAAAAUAAUGAAUUAUAUCAGUUUUUUCUUGUCCUAAAAAAAAAAAGAAACGAAGAGAAAUACAACAGACUAAAUGGAUUUUUCUCGUGAUGAUUACUUUUAAUAUAGGGUAUAUGGUAUCAAAUAAAACCCUUGCAAAUACAUGCCGAACUUCCUGCAGACUACCUAAAGUUAACAAUUCAUUAUCAAUCUUACUAGCUUGCUUUGCUAUAAAUUUUUCUCUAUGUCCCUCUUCAAUGCAUUCAAAUAUCUUGCACACCCUCAAAUACAGUUCGAGUGGGAUAAAGACCUAUAAAAACGAAAGCAGACAAUGAUCAAGCUAAGACAUACACACUUGCUACUGAAAUUUAUACUAGAAAAUAACUAUUACAAUUAGCCAUUCAUUUGAAUACAGACUACAAGGAAUGAAGUAGUUGCCAGACAUAUAAUAGCUAUUACCAGACAUAUAGGUACAAGGAAUAAUAUGAAGCAACAUCAAACAAAUAGUCAGAAUAAGAAGAAAGUACCUUUGGUGGUUUUGUCUUUUCCUUUAUUCCCUUUCUCAUUAUCGUAGUCUUUGUUAUGUUGAUUUGCUAUUAAUAAACAACAAUAAAAAUUAAAUAUUUAUAAAAAAACAAAAAAAAACAUAACAAAUUGAACUGUUUGUACCUAGUUUUGGACAAGUAGUCCUAUAAUUGUUGGCUCUCCACACUCUCCACAAUAACAAUACCCUUUACUUCUUGAGCUACUUCUCUACCCGAUUGAAAUCUCGAGGCUCCCUUUGGUCUCCCUUUGAGCUACCUCUCUACCCGAUUUCAGGAACAUGAAUGAACAAAACAAAGAAAAGAUAAAUAGCAUAAACUACUUAAUUAAGCAAUUGAGUGUAAAUGUCCUGCAGAUGCCAAAUUUUUAAAGGCACCAUGUGAUACCCCCAAAUCCAGGUACUUCAAUUCCACAGAUUUGGUGUUCACUGUCCAAUUAAAUCAUAACUAACUACCCAUAAACAAAGGAUAUAAUUAAACUCAAAAGUUUAAACAAUCAAUCUUCCAUUAAAGGUUACAUAAUCUAAAAUAAAUCCCAGGUCAUAUAACCUUUAUUACAAUCAUCAGCAGAAAAUUAAAACAUGAUCAUAAUUAAAUCUAUUACAUAAGCUUCAUAAAUAGAAGAUAAAUUAAACGUUGUCAUCUAAUCAAGCACUUUGUCCUUGCCCUAGCUUGAAGAAAGCUCUUCAAACUUCUUAACUUCAUCUGCAUUGUUUGGUGCAAGAGUGAGCAAACAAUUGCUCACAAGAAGAAUAGUAUACAAUAACAUUUUAUGAAUGACAAUAACUGAACUUUCAAUGGUAAAGUUUUCUUACCAGAACAAUAAACUUUAAUUCAACAACUAUAAGUUCAAAGGAAUAAUGAACGUUAAGUUAACAAUAGAUAUCAACAUCAAAGAAUACACUGAGGGUCACAAGACCACGAACUAUACUCUAGGUCUCAAGUAUUUCUACUUUAACCUUUAACAGUCUAAACGACUAUAUGGACCAUCAUUCCGUACUCCAGGUGAUCAGCCCUUUGUACUAUGUAUUGCGCAAACAAUUUAACGCUAUUGCGUAUUUCUAAAAUAAUCCCCUAAUAAUAGGGUUGUUCAUCUCAACUUAGAUCAUCAGGUUCCGAACCAAAUGAAGUUUGGUUGGGAAUUAGCUUUCAAGGAAUUCUAGAUCUUUAAAACGCUCAUCAACCAAGUACUGGUUGAAUCAGAUAGAAAUAAAUAACUAUUCAAUAGUUUGAUUAUAAUAUCUUUAUGAACAAGGUAUAUUGAUGUAUCAAUAAGAACUAGAGUAUUAACAAUUUCUAAAUUAUACAAAUGUUAUCAUCGACAACAUGCUUUCAAAAUUUAUGUGAAUACAUAUGCAAACCAAAGGAAGUUUGGUUUGGGUUGACUUCAAGGGAAAUUUAGAGUUUAAAACAUUCAUCAACUAAGGAUUAGUUGAGUUGGUAAAGAAUCGCUAGACAACUUAGAGUUCGGUACAAUAAUGUAAGAUAAUACAAUGAUAUUGGACAACGAAGAUCAAACAACAGUUAUUAGUAGUUGAAUAAACAACAUUACUGACUUUGAAUAAACAAGAUAAUCUCGUUUGAAAUAAAGAAAUAAAGAUUAACUAACUUGUUCAAUAAUUACAUGAGAGUUAAAGAAUUCGCAUGACAAUAAAUCGUCAAACAAGAGGUUAGAGUUAGAGAAUCUGCAUAAGUAUAACGUAAUAGUGAAAAGUAACCUUGCUGAAAAAUAAAGUAGCAAAGGUUAGGGAACUUGCCUCUUGCGUAAGCUAUACAAUUACAACUCACGUACUCCAAUAACCUACUCAUAGGUUUAGAACCACAAUACCUAUUAGAUAUGCUAACAUACCAUAACAUGUACAUUUCUUGCUAAACUUAUCAUUUUAGCACAAGUCUUAUGCUACUAUACAAUUAUCAGAAAUUUCAAGUGUUAACCUUCAUAAUACUUAUUUACUAAUCCUCAUUCUCAAUAAAUCACAUGUCAUUUUCAUAGUUUACUAACUUCUUAUAACUUUAGAAUCACUAACCAUAUACCACUAUGUUGUUUUAACCUUGUAGUUACACAUUUGUCAUAUUAACAUAACCUUAGACCAAGUUAUAGUCGUGUUACAAAGUCUGCAGCAACAGCAGACCUCAUUGUCUCAGGACAGGGUAUGGCGCAGAUGCGCUAUACACAAGCCUGGGACCGGCGCAGCUGCACCGUUUUUUUGCCUUGGCAUCGGCGCAGUUGCGCCGGUGCACAGACAGGCGCAGAAACGGCAUGAACAGUAGCCGAUUUUAACCCAACUAACACGAAUUUCACCCACCAAACAGUGAAAUUAACACAUAAAAUAAAUAUACAACUAUCAUAAACAUGAUUGCUAACAUAUUCAAUCACUUAGCACAAUUUAACAACAACUAAAACUAUUUUAAUUUCUCAAAAUUCAUAUUUUUCAUAAAAAACUCCAUUUUUGAUAUCUCUUGGAAAAAUCAUCACUGUAAUCUCUAUACUUGGCCAAAUCACUUCAUUCCAAUUACGUUAGGCUCGUUUCUUAAUGAACUAACAUAAUCAAGCUUCAAUUUGCAGUUUAACAUAAGAAUUGACCAUCAAAAUUGGUACUUACCGAAGCCAUAUAAAGAAUACAUAUACUGUCAAAACGAAAUUAUCAUACAAAUUUCUUGUUUUAAACAUAACUCUAGCAUCAUAAACAUAUAUCAUUAGAAUUUACCAAUUAUAUAUCCACAAUUCACCAAUUUAUUUCACAGAACACAAACACACCAUGCCGUGAAUUCAUAUAUGUACAUAUAUAUAAACAUAUAACAUUAGGGUUAAGAAUAAUACCUUCAAUUUACUUGGUAACCACUGAAAUUGUUGUGAAUCACAAACUUUCUCUCAAUUCUCUCCCUAGCUUUUCUGUAUUUUCAUCCUUCUCUUUUUAGGCUUAAGCCAAUUUUCUUUUACGUAUACUAAAACUUAACCCAACGCACACACCCAAACGUCUGAAACCGACGUUAUAAUAAUUAGAAUAAUAAGUUAUCAGUUACUCCCUCCGUUCCAUAGUUAUAGGCUGAUUUUCCAUUUUGAGAUGUCCCAAUAUAUAGGCUACUUACUAUUUAUAAAAUUUAGUUGGUUCAUUGUUUUACUUUUAUGCCCUUAUAAUAAAUAUUCAAUCAUUACUCUUUUUUUGAAGAAACAACAUUCAAUGUCAUUAUUUUUAUCACCACAUUUAAUGUUGUUGUAUUCUCUUUGGUUAAAGUUCUAUGGUUAUGGACUUUAACACGUCAAUCAAUGAAGUUGAGAGUUCCAGUGUGAUAAGUAAGAAGUAAUUAAUUUAUUCAUUAAUUCCAUAUUAAGGGGUAUAUGUGGAAAAUUUAUGUUAAAAAUUUCCACUAAACUGAUUUUCUUAAACUACGUGCCAAAAGAAAUCAGCCUAUAACUAUGGGACGGAGGGAGUAUAAUAUAUAUUAUUUAUUAUUUAAUAUAUUUUAUUUACUUUAUUUAUAAUUCGAAUAUUAAAAGAAAUCCAAAAGCCAUAAGGCUUUGUUUGGCAAAAAGUCUUUAAAAUAAAGACUUAUAUAUUUAAGUCUUGUUUGGUAAAAACUAAUUAAACUCCUUUAAUUUAUUUUAAUAAACAACUUAGUUUAUAAUUUAUAACCACAUAUGACUUAUUUGGAUUUUCAUAUCCAACAUUAAUUAAAUAAAAUAAUUAUACAUACUAUAUUUUAAAUAAAUACUCCACUUAAACAAACAUCACAAACUUAUAACUUUAUUAUAAUUUUAUUUAAUAAUUUAAUAUACCAUCUUAAUUUAUCACAUCACAACAACAAUAUAACAUCUCAUGUUAUCUCACAACAUAAUAACUAUAAAUCAAAUUAAUUUAGAAUAUUAUCUAAUAAAUAUAAUUUAUAAAUAUUUACUAACAAAAUCACAUAUUCAUUUAAUUUAAGAAACAUUUUAAAUUACAAAACAACAACUUCAUCAAUAAAACAUUUAUUUAAUUUAAUAAAUAUUUUAAAUUACAAAAAAAAUCUUGGAUUGUUACAGACCACAUAUAUUAUUGUUAGAUCUCCAUGUUACAACAUCAACAUCAAGGAAAAAGGACCCUCCCUAUCCAGAGAAUUAAAUCUUGAAUAUUUUUGUUUUCACAAUAACCGUAUGCAAUCAACAAGUGCUAAUAAAUAAUCAACUCUCAAAAGACCUAAAUCUCAUCAUAUUGCCACCAUAUGUAUCAUUACUGCAAUGAGCAAUACUGAAUUGACACUAAAUAUGUAAACUGGCCAUAUUGCUUUCUAUUUAUAACACCACCCACUACAACCCAGAAAAAUAUUCAUAAAUCAAAAAGUUAUCUAUCAACACAAACAAAUAUGCAGAUUCUAGGGUUUGGCCCUCAAAAAAUAUUAGCCCUCCAAUUUUUCAAAACCAAAACACAAAAUAUAAAACAAAAGGCCUAAUUCAACACUAAACGCAAGAAAAUCCAUCUACCCACACCUAAUUUUGUUACCUUGCAAUGAAUCGAAGGAUUUGUCGCGAGGAGAUGGGAAGCCUGAGCGAGGAGAUGGGCGAUGAGCGAGGAGAUGGCCGGCGAGCGAGGAGAUGGGAAGAGCAAGAAAGAGGCAGCGGGGAGAGCAGGAGAGAGAAUAAAUAAGAGGCAGAUGGGUUCUUUGCUAUCAGCCUUUAGAGAAGACGCGUUUUUUUUUGUUUCAGUCAAAACAACAUCGUUUUUGACUGACUGUGUAAAAAAAAAAAAUUGCACAGCUGUGCAUACCCAUUUCCCCCAUAUAAUCAUUACAUGCAUUUAAGUAUUAUAUAUUAUAUUAUAACAUAACCUGCAUGUACAUCAUAUAUAUAUUUAAACUACAUGUGUGUAUUAUAUAGUCCAUGCAUUAUAUUAAUGUGCAUUAAAUGUGUGUGUAUAUNNNNNNNNNNNNNNNNNNNNNNNNNNNNNNNNNNNNNNNNNNNNNNNNNNNNNNNNNNNNNNNNNNNNNNNNNNNNNNNNNNNNNNNNNNNNNNNNNNNNNNNNNNNNNNNNNNNNNNNNNNNNNNNNNNNNNNNNNNNNNNNNNNNNNNNNNNNNNNNNNNNNNNNNNNNNNNNNNNNNNNNNNNNNNNNNNNNNNNNNNNNNNNNNNNNNNNNNNNNNNNNNNNNNNNNNNNNNNNNNNNNNNNNNNNNNNNNNNNNNNNNNNNNNNNNNNNNNNNNNNNNNNNNNNNNNNNNNNNNNNNNNNNNNNNNNNNNNNNNNNNNNNNNNNNNNNNNNNNNNNNNNNNNNNNNNNNNNNNNNNNNNNNNNNNNNNNNNNNNNNNNNNNNNNNNNNNNNNNNNNNNNNNNNNNNNNNNNNNNNNNNNNNNNNNNNNNNNNNNNNNNNNNNNNNNNNNNNNNNNNNNNNNNNNNNNNNNNNNNNNNNNNNNNNNNNNNNNNNNNNNNNNNNNNNNNNNNNNNNNNNNNNNNNNNNNNNNNNNNNNNNNNNNNNNNNNNNNNNNNNNNNNNNNNNNNNNNNNNNNNNNNNNNNNNNNNNNNNNNNNNNNNNNNNNNNNNNNNNNNNNNNNNNNNNNNNNNNNNNNNNNNNNNNNNNNNNNNNNNNNNNNNNNNNNNNNNNNNNNNNNNNNNNNNNNNNNNNNNNNNNNNNNNNNNNNNNNNNNNNNNNNNNNNNNNNNNNNNNNNNNNNNNNNNNNNNNNNNNNNNNNNNNNNNNNNNNNNNNNNNNNNNNNNNNNNNNNNNNNNNNNNNNNNNNNNNNGACCUGGGAUAGGUUUAAGGAAAUAUUCUUCGAGACCUAUUUCCCAGAGAGUUCGAAGAGUCAGCUAGAAGUGCAGUUUUUGAAACUAAAGCAGGGAACAAUGACGGUAUCUGAGUAUGCCGCUAAAUUCAACGAGUUGGCAAGGUUUGCGCCUUAUCAAGUCAGCACGGACGAACGCAAGGUGAAGAGGUUUAAACAUGGACUGAAGCCCUAGUUGUACAGUAUGGUUUCCCUGUUCCAGUUGAAGACUUUCGCAGCAGUGAUGGAGAAAGUAAUACUCAUUGAAGGUGGAGACGAGGCAGUGACAAAGUUCAAUCAGGAAUAUAAGAAGAAGAAGAAUGAGGUGAAGAUCAAGAAUGGAGGUGGUAGUAGUGGAAACGACAACAACAAUUUGAAGAGGAAGUGGAAUGGGAAUGUGGGUGCUGGAAACCAGUAGGGUAACCAGCAAAAUAAUAAGUUUGAAGCAUGUGUUACAUGCGGGAAGUGUCACAAGGGUCGUGCUUGAUGGGGAAAUGUGUAUGCUUCAAUUGUGGCUAGGAGGGUCACAUCACCCCAAAUUGCACUCAACCUAAGAAGAAUUUGUGCUUCACGUGCGGAUCCAAGGAUCACUUUACUCGUGAAUGCCCUAAGAAGAAGACUGGAGAGACAACCAGAAGCAAUGGAGGUAAUAGUGGAGGUACAUGGGCCAUUGUUGGACCUACAACAUCAAACAAACCCACAGCCAGAACCUUCAACAUGAUUGUGCAAGAUGCUGUGCAAUCAAAAGAUGUGGUGUCAGGUAUUAUCCCAAUCAAUGAUAUAAAUGCUUAUGUAUUAUUUGAUUCGGGUGCUACUUGCUCGUUUAUAUCUGAUGAAUUUUCUAAGAGGUUAGGAAUGCCUAGUGAAAAACUGAAUUUCCCUUUGAACAUAGAAAUUGCGAAUAAUGAAGUAAUCCAUGUUAGAUUAGUAUACAAGAACUGUAGGGUGAACAUUAAGGAGAAUAUCUUGACGGUAGAUUUGAUUCCGAUUAGACUUGGAGAGUUUGAUGUUAUUUUGGGAAAGGAUUGACUGUUCAAAUAUGGAGCGGUAAUUGAUUGCCAAAAGAAAUGUGUAAACCUUAUUACUCCGCCAAAGGUAGUUUUCUAUGGUAGUAAAUCGCCUAGACAAAUGAGAUGUCUGACGAUUAUGCAGGCCAAGAAAUUGUUGAGUCAAGACUGUGUGGGCUACUUAGCUUACAUAGUCGAUACUCAAAAGAAGGGUGUGAAACUGGAAGAGAUACCAGUGGUGAGGGAAUUUGAAGAUGUGUUUCUAGAGGAUUUGCCAGGACUCCCGCCUGACAGGGAGAUUGAGUUCGUGAUCGACUUAGCGCCAGGAACAACAUCGAUAUCGAAGGCCCCGUACAGAAUGGCUCCGGUAGAAAUGAAGAAACUGAUGGUACAAUUGCAAGAACUGUUAGACAAGAAGUAUAUUCAACCAAGCGUAUCACCGUGGGGAGCGCCAGUGUUAUUCGUGAAGAAGAAGAAUGGGUCGAUGCGUCUUUGCAUUGAUUAUAGAGAAUUAAACAAAGUCACUAUUAAAAACAAAUAUCCAUUGCCAAGAAUAGAUGACUUGUUUGAUUAGUUGAGGGGUGCUAAAUACUUCUCAAAAAUAGAUUUGAGAAGUGGGUAUCACAUUUGAAAGUGAGGAAGGAGGAUAUACCUCGAACGACAUUCAGAACUCGGUAUGGACAUUACGAGUUUCUGGUGAUGUCUUUUGGUUUGACCAACGCCCCUGCUACAUUAAUGGAUUUGAUGAACAGGGUGUUUAAACCAUUUUUAGACAAGUUUGUAGUGGUAUUUAUCGACGACAUUCUGGUGUACUCCAAAACUCAAGAGGAACACGUGGAACAUUUACGUUUGACAUUGGAAAUACUAAGAAAGGAAAAGUUGUACAUGAAAUUCUCUAAGUGUGAAUUUUGGCUAGAUCGUGUACAAUUUCUUGGGCAUGUGAUUGACAAAGAUAGGAUUUCAGUGGAUCCAUCAAAAGUGGAAGAUGUAAUCAAUUUAGAACAACCAAGAACACCAUCGAAGGUAAGGAGUUUCUUGGGAGUGGUCGGUUAUUAUAAAAGAUUUAUUCAAGAUUUUUCUAAGAUAGCCACUCCGCUAACAAAUUUGACAAGAAAAGCGGUAAAAUUUAUUUGGACGGAGAAGUGUGAAGAGAGUUUUCAAGAUUUGAAGAAGAAAUUAAGUGUGGCACCUGUGUUGUCGUUACCAGAUAGUACAGGAAACUUUGUGGUGUUUAGUGAUGCCUUACAUAAAGGGCUGGAUUGUGUUCUUAUGCAGAACGACAAAGUAAUUGCAUAUACAUCAAGACAACUGAAGGAUUAUGAGAAAGGUUAUCCGACUCAUAAUUUGGAAUUGGCUGCAGUAGUAUUUGCUCUGAAGAUAUGGAGACACUAUCUCUAUAGAGAAAAAUGUGAAAUCUACAGAGACCAUAAAAGUCUGAAGUAUAUUUUCACACAGAAGGACCUGAAUAUGUGUCAAAGAAGAUGGAUGGAAUUGAUAAAAGAUUACGAUUGUGAGAUCUUUUAUCAGCCGGGCAAAGAAAAUGUGGUUGCAGAUGCUUUAAGCAGAAAAGGCCGGGAAAAGUUGAUGUUGUUAACCAACCAGGAAGAGCUUAUUUCAGAGAUGGCAAGGCUAGAGUUGGAAAUCAAAUUUCAAAAAGAAACCGACGAAAAAUUAUACCAGAUAGAAGCUAGUCCAACUUUGGUGGACAAAGUGAAGAAUGCUCUACUACAAGAUAAAGAUUGUUGUGACACCCCAAAAUUCGGGUACUUCAUUUUCGCCGAAUUUGGUGCUCACUAUUAAAAUAAUUACAUCUAACUACCCAUAAUAAAGGAUAAAACAUUAAAUAACUUUAAACAAUAAUCUUUCCCAUUAAAGGGUUACAUCAUCAUCUCAAAAACAAUCCCAGGUAAUCUAACCUUAAAAAUUAUUACAUCAGUUUGUGGAAUACAUUAUAAAAUAAAAUAAGUCUUAUAACUUCAAGCAUUCAAAUAAACUUUAACUAAUUCUUCAUCACUUAGACAUCUUGCCAUUUUCCUUGCUAGUAGAUGGAUCAUCACCUCUUUCGACUUUAGCUGCAUUGUUUAAUUGCAAGAGUGAGCAAAAAAUUGCUCACCGACAUAAAGAAUAGUAAUAAUAAUCAUAAGAGAAUGAACAACGAAUGAUGUACAAUAAUGAACUUGUUCUACGAAUAGAAACAGAAACAAGUUCAAACUUUUAAUAUCUGAGGGUCUUAAGACCAUGAACUAUGUCUUUGGUGUUUAGGUGUUAUUACUUUAACCUUAACAGUCAUUAGACUGUACAGACUCUUCUUAACGUACUUAGGGGGAUCAGCCCUUUGUACCAUGUAUUGUGCACAAACAUCUAAAUGUUACACGUACAAAAUCCCCUAUGUUAGGGUUGUUCGUCUCAACUUGAAUUUAGAACUUCCGCACUAAACAAAGUUUAGUUUGGAACUAGCUUAUCAGUGUUUCUAGAAUUUUAGAACACUUAUUCAAAUUCCAACAAUGAAGGUUUAAUACAAGAGUGUGUAACUGAACAAGGCUAUCCAAGUCAAAGAUCGGAUAUUAAUAAUAUAUAACUGAAUAAACAUGAUACACAUGCAAAGUACUAUGUUCAAAGAAGUAGAACAAUCUCCUUUGAAUCAAUGUGUUAGAACAAUAUACGUUUUGAAUAACAAUAACAAUAAAUGAGAAUGUAAAACUCAUUCGAGGUAACGAAUUAGGUUACAUGAGCUUGUUCAAUGUAUAUAAAAAUAGAAUCAAUAGUCUUGCUCAAUGAAAGUUUAGGUUUAGAAUCUUGCACAAUUAUGAAAGUAGAGUUAGAGAACUUGCCUUGUUUAUAAGCUACACAAGUGUAAAAUAAUCUCCAAUUACCCUACAUACAUCAUUACAAUCGCAACAAAAAUUAGUUGUAUGAAUAUUAACACUAUGGGUAUUAAACCAUCAUUUAGGUCAUAACCCCAACCUAGUACCUAACCAUUUAGGUUAACACUUAACAAAUCUGAAAUCACACUGUGAACCUUAUCAUUUAUAUUUAACUUUUGAAAACAUCACAUUCGGUUCAUUAUAUAACUUAUUUAAAUAAUUACUUAAAAUCUUCACACUUUGAAUUACAACAUCUUACAAUCUGUUAUUAUAGUCCACUUUAUAUUUUAAUAUCCUUAACAUGCAUGCUAAACUCAUAUAAGUCCGUUACACAUGAUCUGCAAUUAAGCAGACUGCACUGCCUGGGCUCAGGGCACGGCGCAGCUGCGCUGCCCCUUGCCUUAGCACCGGCACAGCUGCGCUGGUGCUCGACUGCAGAAAACCCAGUGGCGCAGCUGCGCUUGGGACUGGCGUAGCUGCGCAGUUUCUUGCCUUGGCACCGGCGCAGCUGCGCUGGUGCACAGACAAAGGCAGAAACGGUAGUGAAUAGUAGCCUACUUUAGCCCAACAAACACGAAUUUCACCCAUAAAAUAGUGAAAUUAACACCUAUAAUUGGUACAAGCUAUUACAAACAUGUUUGCUAAUAUUUACAACCAAUUAACACAAUUUAACAUCAACUAAAACUAUUUUAAUUUCUCAAAAUUCAUAUUUUUCAUAUAAAACUUCAUUUUUGAACUUCUUCACAAAAUUGAACACUGUGACUUCGAUUCUUGUCCGAAUUACUUCAUUCAAAUUACGUUAUGUGCGUUUCUUAAUAGACUAACAUAAACAAAAUCCAAUUUGCAGUUUAGCAUAGGAAUUAACCACUAAAAUUGGUACUUUUCACAAGCCAUAUAAGAAAUACAACACUGUCAUACUUUUCUUCCUUUUUAAACUGUAAUUCGCAUAUAAUUCAUGUCUGAUUACAACCUCUAACAUCAUAACUAUCUAUAAUCAUCAUACACAGGUUACAUAACAACAAUUUACAGAAACUAGAAUUUACAGAGUUUACAAAUUAUGCCGUAAAACUCAUAUAUAUAUAUAUAUAUACACACACACAUAUAAUCCUAAGGUUUAGAAAAUACCUCCACUUUGAUUGUAUGCUACCAAAGGAUGGUGACUAGGUUUAGCAAUUCCCCUUCUUCCUCUUGCCAAUCACCAAGAACUCAGUGGCUUUCUCUCUUCUCUCUCAAACCCUCUCUGUAUUUUCUGUAUUGUCUAGCCUUAGGAAAAAAAUAAGACGCGUAGGAAAAUAUACUAACUCCCACUUCCCCACUAACGUCAAGUAAAAAAACCAACAGAUAGCGUUAGUUGAAAAAGCUAAAGGCCACAAGGCCAUGUUUGGCUAACCACAUAAUUCCCAAACCAAAUUAUUAUUAUAUUAUUUAUAUUAUAUAGUUACUUUGUGUCACACGCUAUUUAACUAACUUUAAUUUAGCUAAUUUAAAUAACUUAUAAUAAUAAUAAAAACCUUAUUAUCAUUAUACCUUGUAAUUAAUAAAUAAUUAUAUAUCUAAUUUAAUUAAUAAAUUAGAAACAUCGCUUUAUUUAUUUUCAUUAAAUUAAACAAUUCAUUUAAUUUAAUUGUCUUCUUUAAUAUUAAGCAAUUGAUUUGAUUUAAUUAUUUUUCAUUAAAUAAAAUUACCAAUUUAGUUACUAAAUUAAUUCACCACAAUUAUCAAUUAUUUAUUUUCAUCAAUACAUAAAUUAUUUAAAAUAUUUAUUUAAUUCAAUAAAUAUUUAAAUUAAAUUACAAAUUUCUCGAUCGUUACAAUUGCGAAACGAUCAAAGAGAAAGUGGUUUAGGGUAGUGAUGUAAAAUACAAGAUCGAUACCGAAGGACUACUACGGUUCGAGGAAAGAAUUUGGGUUCCAGCAGUACCAGAGCUUAAAGACGAAAUCUUGACCGAAGCACACAACACAAGAUAUUCGAUUCAUCCAAGAAGUACGAAGAUGUAUCAAGAUUUGCGGAUACAUUUUUGGUGGCCGAACAUGAAAAGAGAUGUUGCAGAAUGUGUCGCGAAAUGCUUGACAUGUCAAAGAGUCAAGGCCAAACAUCAAAGACCAAGCGGAUUACUUCAACCGUUAGAAAUACCAGAAUGGAAGUGGUAACACAUCACAAUGGAUUUUAUGGUGGGUCUUCCAACUACUCAGAGAGGAUACGAUGCGAUUUGGGUGAUAGUGGACAGACUGACAAAAUCAGUGCACUUUUUACCAAUAAAGAUUAAGUUCAAUCUUGAUCAGUUGGCAAGGUUGUACGUUAAAGAGAUCAUUUUGAGGCAUGGAGUACCAGUGUCAAUUGUGUCAGAUAGAGAUCCGCGAUUUACGUCAAACUUCUAGAAGAGACUAUAAGAAUGUAUGGGAACACAAUUGCGAAUGAGUACAACAUACCAUCCGCAAACAAAUGGGCAAAGUGAACGAACAAUCCAAACAUUGGAAGAUAUGCUGAGAGCAUGCAUUAUGGAUUUCAAAGGGAGCUGGGAAGAACAUUUACCGUUGGUGGAAUUUACCUACAAUAACAUUUACCACGCGAGCAUCGGCAUGCCGCCUUACGAGGCAUUAUACGGCAGAAAGUGCAGAACUCCACUGUGCUGGGAUGAAGUUGGUGAACGCCAACUGUUAGGACCAGAACUGGUACAACACACUGCUGAGGUUGUCAAACUCAUCAAGACAAGAUUGGUAGCAGCCUAAGACAGACAGAAAAAGUAUGAUGAUCAACACAAACGAGAUCGUGCAUUUGAAGUAGGAAAUUUUAUUUUCCUAAAAGUUUCUCCUUGGAAGGGGAAAAUUCAUUUUGGCAAGAAAUGAAAGCUCAGUCCAAGAUUUAUUUGACCUUUCGAGAUACUACGAAGAGUGGGGGAAGUGGCUUAUGAGGUAGCUCUACCUCCAGAGUUGGAAAACGUUCAUAAUAUUUUUCACGUUUCGGUGUUACGACCGUAUAAACCUGAUUACAAGCACGUGAUCGAGUACGAACCAUUGCAAUUCGAUAAAGAUUUGUCUUAAGAAGAGAUUCCUAUUCAGAUAGUCGACAGGAAAGAACAAGUGCUCAGAAAUAAAGUGAUACCUUCUGUGAAGGUGAUAUGGAGAAACCACAAUGUCGAAGAGGCAACGUGGGAACUCGAAGUUGAAAUGAUGAAAAAUUACCCUGAGUUAUUUGUUUAAUCUAUGUCUUCGAUUCUAGGGACAGAAUCUUUGUAAGAAGUGAAGAAUGUGACGAUUUGAUUGUUUGAAUUGUGAUUCUGAGGACAGAAUCCUUGUAAGGAGGGAAUGAUGUAACAUUCCAGAAUUUUAAUUGUAAUAUUAAAUAUUUAUUGAAUUAUAUAAAUAUUUAUUUGAUGUGUUUAUUGUUGAAAAUGAUGAAAUAAAUAUUUUAUUGACGUGAUUAUUAGUAAAUAUUUAUGAAUUAAAUUUAUUAGAUAAUAUUCUAAAAUAAAUUAAUUUAUAAUUUAGAGAGUUGUAAUAUAACAUGAGAAUUAUAUUGUUAUUGAAUUUAAUAAUUUAAAGGGUAUAUUAAAUUAUUAAAUAAAAAUUAUAAUGAGAUUAUGAUUUUGUGUUAAUCGUUUAAAUGGUAUAUUUAAUUAAAAUAUAGUGUGUAACUAAUUUAUUUGAUUAAUGCUGGAUAUGAAGAUCUGAAUAAAUAAUAUGUGAUUAUAAAUUAUAAACUAAAUUGUUUAUUAAAAUAAUUAAAGUAGUUUUAAAUAUGUUUAACCCAAACAAAGCUUAAAGAUAUUAAAUCUUUAUUUUAAAGACUUUUUGCCAAAGAAAGCCUUAUGGCUUUUGGAUUUUCAAAUUUUGAAUUAUAUAAUUAAAAUAAAUAAAAUAAAUUAAAUAAUAAAUAUAAUAUAAUUAUAACUUAUACGUUAUUUUAUAACUGAUAUCCUAAUUAAUAUUAGUGUUAAGGUUAUAUCAGUUUUCUUUUACGCAUUAGAUAGUCUAGUUGCUAAGUUGCUAAACCUAAGUAGAACAUUGAGAAUUCAGAGAAGAGAACUUGAGAGUGAAACUUGAGAGAAAUUGGGAGAGAUUUGUCUGCAAUUAACAAGGUUGUCUUAGCGAAUUGAAGGUAUGUUCAUAAUCUUAGUAUUACAUAUACAUAUAUGUUCUGAUAUGUUUUACGUCAUGUAUGUUCUAUCCUCUAUGAAUUCCAAUUCUCUUGAACUGUUGUAGAAAACUGAGUACUUAUAGUUGUAUGUGUUAAUCAUGAUUAGAGUUUGUGUUUAAGCAAGAAUUGUAUGCUAAUUUUCGGAUAACAGUAGAAAAAAUAAUGUCAGUAUAUGUUUUCUCAUAUGUUUUGUAAAAGUACCAAUUAUGAUGGUCAAUUAGUAUGAUAAACUGCAAAUUGAAGCUUGUUUAUGCUAGUUCAUUAAGAAACGAAGAUAAUGUAUUUUGAACGAAGUGAUUUGGUGAAGAAUUGAUAUCACGGUAAUGAUUUUUGAUGAAGAAACUCAAAAAUGGAGUUUUCAUAUGAAAACAUGAAAAUUGAGAAAUUAAAAUAGUUUUAGUUGUUGUUAAAUUGUUCUAUGUUGAUGAAUAUGUUAGCAAUCAUGUUUAUGAUAGUGUUAUAUUUAUUUUAUAUGUUAAUUUCACUGUUUGGUGGGUGAAAUUCGUGUUAGUUGGGCUAAAUACGGCUAUUGUUCAUGCUAUUUCUACCUCUGUCUGUGCAUCAGCGCAGCUGUGCUACUGAUCUGAGGCAGAGCCUUUUGCUGCUGCUGCAGAUUUUGGGGAAAACUUACCACUUGGUCUAAGGUUAUGAUUAAGUGUCAAACAUGUAGUAAGUAGGUUAAAACAUAACCAUGAUAUAUAAUUGAUAAAUUCAAAAUUUGAAUGAUUAGUAAGUGAUGAAUGUGGUAUAUUAUAACUUAGUGAGCAUGAUGAAUAGUAAACAGGUAUUGAGAAGGUUAACACUUGUAAUUUCUGAUAUUUGUAUGGUAGCUUAAGACUUGUGCUAAAAUAAUAAGUCUAACUAGAAAUGUGUGUUAUGUUGGAAUAUGAAUGUUAGUAAUCUAAUAGAUGGUAGUUCUAAACCUAUAUGUAGGUGGACGUGAGUUUAAUAUUAUAGCUUACGCUCGAGGCAAGUUCUUUAACUCUACUUUUAUAAUAAUUGUGCAAGCUUCUAAAUCUCAUCUAUUUACAUUGAGCAUGUUUUAAUCUUAAGUUAUUGUAAUUCUAAUCAUUGUUGGCUUACUCUAACUUGUUUAUAGUUAAACAAGUUUUCUCUAGUUCAUUCUUUUUAAUACAUGUUUCUUGAACCUUAAUUCCUUGUGUUGAAAUGGUUCAAUCACUUUGUAUAGUUUAUUACCAUGUGGAGUAAACAUUGUUUCCAGCUUGCUAUCAAUUAGUGCAUGUUCGGUAACUAAAUUUCUAAUUUGGCAAGAUCACAGACCUAGCUUAUUAUUGUUCAAGCCAAGGUUUAUCAUUUUCUUCAUUUUGAUCAAUACUUAUGCUCUCUAGUUAUUUUCAAGCAUGAGUUUAGAAUAUAGUCAGUUCACCUAUGAUUCUCAAAUGUUCUAUGUUAUGUUGUUAUUAAACAACUAUUGUGUUAUCAAGCAUUGUUGAUUCAACUAGUUCCUUAGUUGAUGAUCGUUAAACUUCAAAUUACCCUUUAAAGCUUAUCCAAACAAAACUUUCUUUGGUGCGGACUUGUACUCUAAAUACUGAGAUGAACAACCCUAUUAUUAGGGGUUUACGUUUAGCGUUGAAAUGGUUGUGCACAAUACAUUGUACGAAGGGCUGAUCCCCCUAAGUACGUGGAGUCCUUAUAGUCUUAUGACUGUUAAAGUUGAAGUUGAAAGAUUACAUAUAACUGUGGACAUGGUUCGUGGUCAUUAGACCCUCAGUAGUAUAUUUCAGAAUGUUAAUAGAACAUAUCAUUCAGUUCUAUUGAGCCUAUUAUUUGGCAAAUGUUGUAAAGUUUAUUCAUUCUUAUUUCAAGUGAGCUUUGUUUGCUCACUCUUGCUUAUAUAACUAUUACAGCUAAGGAUGAGAAGGUAGAUGUACCUAGCACCAGUAAGGGAAAGGGGAAGAUGAACAAGUAUUGAAGACUUGUAAUAUGUUGACAGUUAUUUAUCAGACUUUAAUUUGAUUGAUGUAAUGAAGUAUUUAUUUAAUUUUCGCAUUUGAAUGAUUGUACUUAAAGGUUAGAUAACCUGGGAGAUUUUAUUAAUGUAAUCCCUUAAGGGAAGGUUUAUUAUUCAAUUUUUAUUAUGAUUGGAUAGUUAAAUAUGAAUGUUUUGAUUAAGUGAACACCAAAUCUUGAGGUAAUAAAGUACCGGGAUUUGGGGUUGUCACAAGUUUGUUGCUACUCUUAUCAUUUAGUAGUUUAAUUUUAUGGAUAGUUUGGUAUAUUUUGUGGAUGUAGUCAAAUUCACAAUUCAAUAUUGUAGUAAUUAUAUUGAAAAAU